Molecule: non-coding RNA, 776 nt
Organism: Phasianus colchicus (ring-necked pheasant)
Lineage: Eukaryota; Metazoa; Chordata; Aves; Galliformes; Phasianidae
Source: RefSeq, a predicted model, not a curated record
AUGGCGUAAAACUACAAGAGGAGAGACUGAGGUGAGGGAAUUUUUCACUCAGAGCGGUGAGGAGCUGGCAGUGCUGCCCAGAGCUGCGGGUGCCCCAUUCCUGGAGGUGCUCUGGGCAGCCUGAGCACACUGGGCAGGAGUGGGGCUCAAUGAUCUUUUAGGCCCCUUCCAACCCCACCACUCUGCGGUUCUAUGGUUCCCUCUGCUUCGCUAACAGUUUUAUUUGUGGUACGCUUCAGCGUUAAUAAUGACGCGCCCGCUCAGGACGAGCCGCUGGGCGGUGCUACGUGCGGCCCGCCGGACCCUGCGUUCGCUGCCGGGUUGUGGGAGUGCCAUGGCGGCUGUGCAGGACGUGGAGAUCGAUCCUGACGGCACGUUCAAGUACAUCCUGGUGCGGCUGCAACGGCCUGGCGGCGGGGAGCAGCGCGACAUCGUGCGCGGCACCAAGGCGGCCGAGUUCCACAAUCACAUCUUUGAGAAAGUAAAUCCUGAGAUGGAGAAGCUGGGAUACGAGUGCAAGUGCCUUGGAGGAGGGAAAAUUGAUCAUAAUAGCAAAGAGAAGAAAAUUAGGGUGUUUGGGCUGUCUACAGUACCUUGAAACAUACAGAUGAGCACAAGGUGAAAGCAGAGGUUCUACUACUAGGAGGGCAUCUGUUGAGUAGAGACCUGGAGAUUUGAAAGACUUCAGCUGUAGGGCUAUGGAAAAGCAGAUCAUUCGGUGACUGUAGAGAUACUGAAAAAAGUGUACACAGAUUAUGAAAUCACAUGGUCAGAUG